CGGGGCAACCUGGCGGCGAGUGGCGAACGGGUGAGUAAUAUAUCGGAACGUACCCUGGAGUGGGGGAUAACGUAGCGAAAGUUACGCUAAUACCGCAUACGAUCUAAGGAUGAAAGUGGGGGAUUCGCAAGAACCUCAUGCUCCUGGAGCGGCCGAUAUCUGAUUAGCUAGUUGGUGGGGUAAAGGCCUACCAAGGCAUCGAUCAGUAGCUGGUCUGAGAGGACGACCAGCCACACUGGAACUGAGACACGGUCCAGACUCCUACGGGAGGCAGCAGUGGGGAAUUUUGGACAAUGGGCGCAAGCCUGAUCCAGCAAUGCCGCGUGAGUGAAGAAGGCCUUCGGGUUGUAAAGCUCUUUUGUCAGGGAAGAAACGGUGAGAGCUAAUAUCUUUUGCUAAUGACGGUACCUGAAGAAUAAGCACCGGCUAACUACGUGCCAGCAGCCGCGGUAAUACGUAGGGUGCAAGCGUUAAUCGGAAUUACUGGGCGUAAAGCGUGCGCAGGCGGUUUUGUAAGUCUGUCGUGAAAUCCCCGGGCUCAACCUGGGAAUUGCGAUGGAGACUGCAAGGCUAGAAUCUGGCAGAGGGGGGUAGAAUUCCACGUGUAGCAGUGAAAUGCGUAGAGAUGUGGAGGAACACCGAUGGCGAAGGCAGCCCCCUGGGUCAAGAUUGACGCUCAUGCACGAAAGCGUGGGGAGCAAACAGGAUUAGAUACCCUGGUAGUCCACGCCCUAAACGAUGUCUACUAGUUGUCGGGUUUUAAUUAACUUGGUAACGCAGCUAACGCGUGAAGUAGACCGCCUGGGGAGUACGGUCGCAAGAUUAAAACUCAAAGGAAUUGACGGGGACCCGCACAAGCGGUGGAUGAUGUGGAUUAAUUCGAUGCAGCGCGAAAAACCUUACCUACCCUUGACAUGUACGGAAGCCACGAGAGAUCGAGGCGUGCUCGAAAGAGAGCCGUAACACAGGUGCUGCAUGGCUGUCGUCAGCUCG
This 993-nucleotide ribosomal RNA is filed under the name uncultured bacterium. Its description in RNAcentral is "bacterial SSU rRNA". It matches the Rfam family "Bacterial small subunit ribosomal RNA", at positions 75 to 1062 of the family's 1533-position model. The record is from RNAcentral.